UGGGGAAUAUUGCACAAUGGGCGCAAGCCUGAUGCAGCGACGCCGCGUGGGGGAUGACGGCCUUCGGGUUGUAAACUCCUUUCGCUAGGGACGAAGCUUUUGUGACGGUACCUAGAUAAGAAGCACCGGCUAACUACGUGCCAGCAGCCGCGGUAAUACGUAGGGUGCGAGCGUUGUCCGGAAUUACUGGGCGUAAAGGGCUCGUAGGUGGUUUGUCGCGUCGUCUGUGAAAUUCCGGGGCUUAACUCCGGGCGUGCAGGCGAUACGGGCAUAACUUGAGUACUGUAGGGGUAACUGGAAUUCCUGGUGUAGCGGUGAAAUGCGCAGAUAUCAGGAGGAACACCGAUGGCGAAGGCAGGUUACUGGGCAGUUACUGACGCUGAGGAGCGAAAGCAUGGGUAGCGAACAGGAUUAGAUACCCCCGUAGUCC
Molecule: ribosomal RNA, 430 nt
Filed under: uncultured prokaryote
Description: bacterial SSU rRNA
Rfam family: Bacterial small subunit ribosomal RNA
Source: RNAcentral